GUCGAGCUUAGUAACAUGGGCAGCUUGUGAUCCGAGUGGAGAUAUUAAGUUGGUGGGACUUUGGACCAAUUUGUGUGGACCUCGUAGUUGCGAGGUUAUAUGCUAGGCUUGCCCAAUUCUAAAUUGGCUUUGCCAGUGUCUUCUUCGCUACGAGAGGACCGAGGUUUCAAUUUGGACUAUCAUCUUU
RNAcentral lists this non-coding RNA (187 nucleotides) under Brassica napus (rape). The record is from RNAcentral. Lineage: Eukaryota; Viridiplantae; Streptophyta; Magnoliopsida; Brassicales; Brassicaceae.